RNAcentral lists this ribosomal RNA (387 nucleotides) under uncultured bacterium. Its description in RNAcentral is "bacterial SSU rRNA". It matches the Rfam family "Bacterial small subunit ribosomal RNA", at positions 29 to 415 of the family's 1533-position model. The record is from RNAcentral.
AUUGAACGCUGGCGGCAUGCCUUACACAUGCAAGUCGAACGGCAGCAUGGGUGCUUGCACCUGAUGGCGAGUGGCGAACGGGUGAGUAAUGCAUCGGAACGUACCCGGAAGUGGGGGAUAACGUAGCGAAAGUUACGCUAAUACCGCAUAUUCUGUGAGCAGGAAAGCGGGGGAUCGCAAGACCUCGCGCUUCCGGAGCGGCCGAUGUCGGAUUAGCUAGUUGGCGGGGUAAAGGCCCACCAAGGCAACGAUCCGUAGCGGGUCUGAGAGGAUGAUCCGCCACACUGGGACUGAGACACGGCCCAGACUCCUACGGGAGGCAGCAGUGGGGAAUUUUGGACAAUGGGGGCAACCCUGAUCCAGCCAUGCCGCGUGAGUGAAGAAGGC